GAUGGAGGAAAAGAACUGCAGGGAAGUAGAGAGGAAUAUAGAGAUAAAAGCCUACGAAUUUUUCAGGGCAGAUACUGUAACACCAAGAGCUUUGGUAAAGGAACAUGUUGUGCAAUCCUUGCACAGAUUAACAUGAAAAAUAGCACAGAAACAGAUAUUGUGCACUGCCCUCCAAGUUUUACUGCCUUGUGAAAGUCAUGCACUGUGCUCAAGAGCUACUGCCAGCAUCUUCAUGAUGACCUGUUUGUACUUUAACUGACACAGAACGUUAAGCUGAAGCAGUAAAAAAAAAAAUCAAGAAAAAGAUAAUACAGCUUGUACAUCGGGAGAAUCAUAAGACCACAGGCUAAUUUUCAAAGUGUGUGGCUGACUCUGAGUUGCUGCUGAUGCUUAAGCGCUGAAGUUGUGGAGGUAGUGCUUAAACACUAUGGCUCUUUGUCCUCCUGAUGGAAAAAUCCAGAUGGAAAGAAGUGUGGUUCACAAGGAAAUGAUCAUGGGCCUAUUUUUUCUUGGAGUUGAGUUUUAAGAGAUGGAAUGAGCAGAAUGGACAACAAAUUAGGAAUGUAUCCUAGAGAAGUGUCUAACACAUUUGUUGCCUUCAUUUAACCAAAUGAUCAAGGAAUGACUGGAGUAUACAAAAUCCAGAAACUUU
Molecule: long non-coding RNA, 652 nt
Organism: Empidonax traillii (willow flycatcher)
Lineage: Eukaryota; Metazoa; Chordata; Aves; Passeriformes; Tyrannidae
Exons: 3
Source: RefSeq, a predicted model, not a curated record